This 421-nucleotide ribosomal RNA is filed under the name uncultured Neorickettsia sp. RNAcentral describes it as "bacterial SSU rRNA". It matches the Rfam family "Bacterial small subunit ribosomal RNA", at positions 120 to 576 of the family's 1533-position model. Lineage: Bacteria; Pseudomonadati; Pseudomonadota; Alphaproteobacteria; Rickettsiales; Anaplasmataceae. The record is from RNAcentral.
GGGAACUUGCCUGGUAGUAGGGAAUAACCAGUGGAAACAUUGGGCAACACCCUAUACGCCUUGAGGGGGAAAAUUUAUUGCUAUCAGAUAGGCCCGCGUUAGAUUAUCUAGUUGGUGGGGUAAUGGCCUACCAAGGCGACGAUCUAUAGCUGGUAUGAGAGGAUGAUCAGCCACACUGGAAUUGAGACACGGUCCAGACUCCUACGGGAGGCAGCAGUGAGGAAUAUUGGACAAUGGGUGAAAGCCUGAUCCAGCCAUACCGCAUGAGUGAUGAAGGCCCUUGGGUUGUAAAGCUCUUUUAGUGGGGAAGAUAAUGACGGUACCCACAGAAGAAGUCCCGGCUAACUCCGUGCCAGCAUCCGCGGUAAUACGGAGGGGGCUAGCGUUGUUCGGAAUUACUGGGCGUAAAGGGUGCGUAGGC